This 690-nucleotide ribosomal RNA is filed under the name Gordonia sp. J855. RNAcentral describes it as "bacterial SSU rRNA". It matches the Rfam family "Bacterial small subunit ribosomal RNA", at positions 49 to 755 of the family's 1533-position model. Lineage: Bacteria; Bacillati; Actinomycetota; Actinomycetes; Mycobacteriales; Gordoniaceae. The record is from RNAcentral.
UAACACAUGCAAGUCGAACGGUAAGGCCCUUCGGGGUACACGAGUGGCGAACGGGUGAGUAACACGUGGGUGAUCUGCCCUGUACUUCGGGAUAAGCCCGGGAAACUGGGUCUAAUACCGGAUAUGACCGUGCCAUGCAUGUGGUGUGGUGGAAAGUUCCGGCGGUACAGGAUGGGCCCGCGGCCUAUCAGCUUGUUGGUGGGGUAAUGGCCUACCAAGGCGACGACGGGUAGCCGACCUGAGAGGGUGAUCGGCCACACUGGGACUGAGACACGGCCCAGACUCCUACGGGAGGCAGCAGUGGGGAAUAUUGCACAAUGGGCGAAAGCCUGAUGCAGCGACGCCGCGUGAGGGAUGACGGCCUUCGGGUUGUAAACCUCUUUCACCAGGGACGAAGCGUGAGUGACGGUACCUGGAGAAGAAGCACCGGCCAACUACGUGCCAGCAGCCGCGGUAAUACGUAGGGUGCGAGCGUUGUCCGGAAUUACUGGGCGUAAAGAGCUCGUAGGUGGUUUGUCGCGUCGUCUGUGGAAUCCCGCAGCUCAACUGCGGGCGUGCAGGCGAUACGGGCAUAACUUGAGUACUGCAGGGGAGACUGGAAUUCCUGGUGUAGCGGUGAAAUGCGCAGAUAUCAGGAGGAACACCGGUGGCGAAGGCGGGUCUCUGGGCAGUAACUGACGCUGAGGAGCG